AAGGUGCUGCAUGGUUGUCGUCAGCUCGUGUCGUGAGAUGUUGGGUUAAGUCCCGCAACGAGCGCAACCCUUAUCCUUAGUUGCCAGCAAGUAAUGCUGGGAACUCUAAGGAGACUGCCAGGGAUAACCUGGAGGAAGGUGGGGAUGACGUCAAAUCAUCAUGCCCCUUACGACCAGGGCUACACACGUGCUACAAUGGUCUAAACAAAGGGAUGCUACCCCGCGAGGUGAAGCUAAUCUCAAAAAUCCGAUCUCAGUCCGGAUUGGAGUCUGCAACUCGACUCCAUGAAGUCGGAAUCGCUAGUAAUCGCGGAUCAAAAAUGCCGCGGUGAAUACGUUCCCGG
RNAcentral lists this ribosomal RNA (344 nucleotides) under uncultured Acinetobacter sp. RNAcentral's name for it is "bacterial SSU rRNA". It matches the Rfam family "Bacterial small subunit ribosomal RNA", at positions 1035 to 1377 of the family's 1533-position model. The record is from RNAcentral. Lineage: Bacteria; Pseudomonadati; Pseudomonadota; Gammaproteobacteria; Moraxellales; Moraxellaceae.